Neofelis nebulosa (Clouded leopard) is the source of this 626-nucleotide long non-coding RNA. RefSeq lists it as uncharacterized. The record is from RefSeq and is a predicted model, not a curated record. Lineage: Eukaryota; Metazoa; Chordata; Mammalia; Carnivora; Felidae. The transcript is spliced from 3 exons.
UCGGACACUGAGUCUUUGUUCUGCAUAGGACUGCUGCUGCCACUUAAAGAGAUCGCAGAUAAUGUCCCCGGUUUAAGAUCAGUGCUCAAUGCACAUUAACUUUCUUUCUUCUUUCUUUUUUAAGCUCUGCCUCUAACCUACGGAGGGAUCACGCGGCAGUGGGGGGCAGAUAAAAGCCCUUUGGCCGAGGGUCACCUCCGUCCUUGUUGUUCACUUGAGAGCAGUGGAGAGGAAAACGGUCCCCACGGGCGGACUUUGGCUUCUGGAGCCGCGGAGCCCAGCGGUCCGGGCCUCCCCGAGCUCCGCCCGUGAGAAAAGCCUAGUUCCUGAGCCAGUGGAGUCGGUCCUCUCGCCCCUCCCGCUCCCACGCGGGUCCCCCCUUCAGCCACCGCUACUGCCACCACCUCGGUUCCACUCAAUCGAUUUUUGCUGCAUGUCAACACUUAUUACCGUGAGAAACUGAAGCCUCCUGCCAACAGCCAUGUAUGUGAGCUUGGAAGUGGAUUCUCCAACUCUCUAGAUGACUGCAGCCCUGGUCACUAACUUCACCCCAAGCCUGAGCUGCUCCGAGAUUCCUGACCCUCAAAACUGAGUGAAAUAAAUAUUUAUUGUUUCAACAAGUUAAA